RNAcentral lists this non-coding RNA (134 nucleotides) under Alcanivorax jadensis. RNAcentral describes it as "radC RNA". It matches the Rfam family "radC RNA". The record is from RNAcentral. RNAcentral also lists the same sequence under 3 other names. Lineage: Bacteria; Pseudomonadati; Pseudomonadota; Gammaproteobacteria; Oceanospirillales; Alcanivoracaceae.
AGGUUUGUCCGCCAUCGAAGAUGGCGACAUGCCCAGGUAGCCGAGGUCUUCGAGGCUACGGCGCAGCACUGCUGCGCUGACCGUCGUUCGCAACGCAUCCCGAAGCGAACGGCCAGCGUCCGCGCUGGUGGAUG